GAGUCGUGGAGGGAACUUUCCCAGGCCCCGAGGCGGAUCGGGUAUUGAGUCCAUGGAGCGAGCUGAGAGCUAGAGUACAGAACCUGCUAAGGCCAUCAAACCUAUCGAUCGGAAGUCAGUCCAUCAGAUUUGCUCUGGGCCGGUGGUACUGAGUCUAAGCACUGCGGUGAAGGAGUUAGUAGAAAACAGUCUGGAUGCUGGUGCCACCAAUAUUGAUCUAAAGCUUAAGGACUAUGGAGUGGAUCUCAUUGAAGUUUCAGACAAUGGAUGUGGGGUAGAAGAAGAAAACUUUGAAGGCUUAAUCUCUUUCAGCUCUGAAACAUCACACAUGUAAGAUUCAAGAGUUUGCCAACCUAACUGAGGUUGAAACUUUCGGCUUUCAGGGGGAAGCUCUGAGCUCACUGUGUGCACUGAGCGAUGUCACCAUUUCUACCUGCCACGCAUCGGCGAAGGUUGGGACUCGACUGGUGUUUGAUCACGAUGGGAAAAUCAUCCAGAAAACCCCCUACCCCCACCCCAGAGGGACCACAGUCAGCGUGAAGCAGUUAUUUUCUACACUACCUGUGCACCAUAAGGAAUUUCAAAGGAAUAUUAAGAAGACGUGCCUGUUUCCCCUUCGCCUUCUGCCGUGAUUGUCAGUUUCCUGAGGCCUCCCCAGCCAUGCUUCCUGUACAGCCUGCAGAACUGUGAGUCAAUUAAACCUCUUUUCUUCAUAAAUUA
Long non-coding RNA from Homo sapiens (human), 720 nucleotides. Ensembl annotates it as PMS1 homolog 2, mismatch repair system component pseudogene 4. Its record names the gene PMS2P4. The record is from Ensembl. NCBI's taxonomy places the organism in Eukaryota, Metazoa, Chordata, Mammalia, Primates, Hominidae.